GUGAGGAAUAUUGGUCAAUGGGCGCAAGCCUGAACCAGCCAUCCCGCGUGCAGGAAGACGGCGCUAUGCGUUGUAAACUGCUUUUCCAGGGAGAGAAACUUGCGCACGUGUUGCGCAAUUGACGGUACCCUGGGAAUAAGCAUCGGCUAACUCCGUGCCAGCAGCCGCGGUAAUACGGAGGAUGUGAGCGUUAUCCGGAGUCAUUGGGUUUAAAGGGUGCGUAGGCGGACUAUUAAGUCAGUGGUGAAAUCCUGCAGCUUAACUGCAGAACUGCCAUUGAUACUGAUAGCCUUGAGUUUGGUUAAGGUAGGCGGAAUGUGUAAUGUAGCGGUGAAAUGCUUAGAUAUUACACAGAACACCAAUUGCGUAGGCAGCUUACUGAGCCGACACUGACGCUGAGGCACGAAAGCGUGGGGAUCGAACAGGAUUAGAAACCCGAGUAGUCC
RNAcentral lists this ribosomal RNA (446 nucleotides) under uncultured bacterium. RNAcentral describes it as "partial 16S ribosomal RNA". It matches the Rfam family "Bacterial small subunit ribosomal RNA", at positions 354 to 796 of the family's 1533-position model. The record is from RNAcentral.